This 751-nucleotide ribosomal RNA is filed under the name uncultured bacterium. RNAcentral's name for it is "bacterial SSU rRNA". It matches the Rfam family "Bacterial small subunit ribosomal RNA", at positions 84 to 832 of the family's 1533-position model. The record is from RNAcentral.
CCCGCAGGGACGAGGCGCAAGGGUGAGUAAGGCGACGGUAACCAGCCCCAGGGCCGGGCAUAACCGCGGGAAACUGCGGAUAAUUCCCGGCGACGUCACGCGUCGGCAUCGGCGUGUGACCAAAGGUGCGAUUCCGCCCUGGGACGGGCCGUUGUGGUAUCAGGUCGUUGGCGGGGUAACGGCCCACCAAGCCUGGGACGCCUACCGGGCGUGCGAGCGUGGCCCGGCACACUGGGACUGAGACACUGCCCAGACACCUACGGGUGGCUGCAGUCGAGAAUCUUCGGCAAUGGGCGCCAGCCUGACCGAGCGACGCCGCGUGGAGGACGAAGGCCUUCGGGUUGUAAACUCCUGUCGAGGGGGAACAAGGAUCGCGGAGAGCGAUCUUGAGUGAUCCCUGGAGGAAGCACGGGCUAAGUUCGUGCCAGCAGCCGCGGUAAGACGAACCGUGCGAACGUUAUUCGGAAUCACUGGGCUUAAAGCGCGUGUAGGCGGGUCGGCACGUCGGUCGCUGAAAUCCCCCGGCUCAACCGGGGAACGGGCGCCGAUACGACCGACCUGGAGGGGGGUAGGGGGAGACGGAACUUCCGGUGGAGCGGUGAAAUGCGUUGAGAUCGGAAGGAACGCCCGUGNCGAAAGCGGGCUCCUGGACCCCACCUGACGCUGAGACGCGAAAGCCAGGGGAGCGAACGGGGAUUAAAUACCCCGGUAGUCCUGGCCGUAAACCAUGGGCACUGGGUAGGGGGCUCGC